UACGGGGGGGGCAAGCGUUGUUCGGAAUUACUGGGCGUAAAGGGUUCGUAGGUGGCUCGCUAAGCCAGACGUGAAAUCCCUCAGCUUAACUGGGGAACUGCGUCUGGGACUGGAGAGCUCGAGUGCAGGAGAGGAACGCGGAAUUCCAGGUGUAGCGGUGAAAUGCGUAGAUAUCUGGAGGAACACCGGUGGCGAAGGCGGCAUCCUGGACCGGUAUUGACGCUGAGGCGCGAAAGCGUGGGGAGCAAACAGG
RNAcentral lists this ribosomal RNA (253 nucleotides) under uncultured bacterium. RNAcentral's name for it is "partial 16S ribosomal RNA". It matches the Rfam family "Bacterial small subunit ribosomal RNA", at positions 524 to 776 of the family's 1533-position model. The record is from RNAcentral.